Camellia sinensis is the source of this 631-nucleotide long non-coding RNA. RefSeq lists it as uncharacterized. The record is from RefSeq and is a predicted model, not a curated record. NCBI's taxonomy places the organism in Eukaryota, Viridiplantae, Streptophyta, Magnoliopsida, Ericales, Theaceae.
AUGUAUUCCAUGUGAUUAUAAGAGAAGAGGUAAAAUUUAAAAUUGAUCUCUAAGAUGUGGCUAUGGUUUUGCCCCAAAAUCUGCACAUAUAAUACAUAUUCUAGAUUGUGGGAAUUGGUUGGACCUCCAGAUUGAACAAGCGGUGUGUUCAUGUGCUUUGUAUCAGAUGCUCAAAUGUAGAAAAUUCAAUGUAUAUAGCUCUUCAUUCUACACUUAGGUGUCAUUUGCAGCAAACCCAAAAAUUUGAUUAUUAUUGCUUAAUGCGUCGGGUCAGAAAAAAGAGGAGUGUUUCUUUGAACUUUCGUACUAUUGGCACCAUUAGAAGAAUGUGGUUGCUGCAGCUCUCAUAGGCCUUGUUGUCGCAACAUUUUGUUAUUGCAGGCCUUGGUUCUCUCUUUGUUAGUAAUUUAAUUUUUCUUCCUUUUCCUUUUCAAUGAACCUUAUCAUUUUUAUGUGCUGUGUUUGGAAAAGCUUUGGAAAAAUUAUAAAUGUAUGUGUUGCCAUGAAUCUAGACUUUCUUUCCUUCUUUCUAAUUUCCUAUUCUUUUUUUAAUAGCAGGGUAGGAAAUUUAUUUUAGAAAUUAUUGUGGGUAACUCAUGUAAUUUAUAAAUUUUCUAAUACAAAAACUAGA